GUGCUUGCUUUGGAAGCACAUAUACUCAAACUGUAAUCAUACAAAGAAGAUAAGCAUGGCCCCUGAGCAAGGAUGAAAUGCAAAUUCGUGGAGCAUUUCAUAUUUAG
Molecule: small nuclear RNA, 107 nt
Organism: Protopterus annectens (West African lungfish)
Lineage: Eukaryota; Metazoa; Chordata; Ceratodontiformes; Protopteridae
Source: RefSeq, a predicted model, not a curated record